AGUGGCGCACGGGUGAGUAACGCGUAGAUAAUCUACCCCUUAGCCUGGGAUAACCUUCCGAAAGGAGGGCUAAUACCGGAUAACAAUGAGAUUCUAGUGAAUUUUAUUUAAAAGAUUUAUCACUAGGGGAUGAGUCUGCGUAUCAUUAGUUUGUUGGUGGGGUAAAGGCCUACCAAGACUACGAUGAUUAGCGGGUCUGAGAGGAUGAUCCGCCACACUGGAACUGAGACACGGUCCAG
RNAcentral lists this ribosomal RNA (239 nucleotides) under uncultured bacterium. RNAcentral describes it as "partial 16S ribosomal RNA". It matches the Rfam family "Bacterial small subunit ribosomal RNA", at positions 94 to 334 of the family's 1533-position model. The record is from RNAcentral.